GAUGAACGCUGGCGGCGUGCCUAAUACAUGCAAGUCGAGCGAACAGACGAGGAGUUUGCUCCUCUGACGUUAGCGGCGGACGGGUGAGUAACACGUGGAUAACCUACCUAUAAGACUGGGAUAACUUCGGGAAACCGGAGCUAAUACCGGAUAAUAUAUUGAACCGCAUGGUUCAAUAGUGAAAGACGGUUUUGCUGUCACUUAUAGAUGUAUCCGCGCCGCAUUAGCUAGUUGGUAAGGUAACGGCUUACCAAGGCAACGAUGCGUAGCCGACCUGAGAGGGUGAUCGGCCACACUGGAACUGAGACACGGUCCAGACUCCUACGGGAGGCAGCAGUAGGGAAUCUUCCGCAAUGGGCGAAAGCCUGACGGAGCAACGCCGCGUGAGUGAUGAAGGUCUUCGGAUCGUAAAACUCUGUUAUUAGGGAAGAACAAAUGUGUAAGUAACUAUGCACGUCUUGACGGUACCUAAUCAGAAAGCCACGGCUAACUACGUG
RNAcentral lists this ribosomal RNA (497 nucleotides) under uncultured bacterium. RNAcentral's name for it is "partial 16S ribosomal RNA". It matches the Rfam family "Bacterial small subunit ribosomal RNA", at positions 28 to 507 of the family's 1533-position model. The record is from RNAcentral.